UUCCCAGGCCAGGAAUCAAAUCCGAGCCACAGCUGCGACCCACACCACAGCUGUGGUGAUGUUGUAUCCUUAACCCCCUGCAACAGGCUAGGAAUCAAAUCCACGCCAUCACAGAGAUAAUGUCGGACCCCCAAGACGACAGAAGGAACUCCUGUCCUCUUUAAAGAUUUUGAAAAAGAUUUUGUAAUGUGAACUAUUCAAAGCAACAGGAAAAACGAAAUCACAAGUCAGACGGAAUAAAGGAUUUUGUUUGUUUGUUUGUUUGGUCCUCCUUAAAGGUUUCACAGAAAAACAAGACCAAGGCCAGGAAAAACAUUUACUGACAGAGAUGGAGAAGUGUAAAUGCAUUCCACAAAUGAUCAGAAAAGAUAAAUAACCUGGAUGGGGAAACCAAGUUAAAUGGCUGGGUGUGCAAAUGACAAUAAAUUCUGACUAGGAAAAUGCUAAGACUAUUCUUAGAAUGUUUCACAGGGCCUCAUAAAUGGGAUAAAGUAGCAGAUGAUUUUCAAUACAGGCAAAUAUGUAAGUAAAAACAACCCAAGCUCUGUUUACAUAGUCAUAAUAAUACAUAUUACAUAGUAAUAAUUAGUGAAAUCUCCAUUAAAGCAUCAAUUACCCAGAGAAGUGAACAUGAAUCCUUGCUCAACCCUAAAAUACUAGAAGCAGAAGACAGUCUACAAUGUACAUUGAGGCAUAUUAAUUAAAAAAUUAAAAAAAUACUAGAAGACUUUAGACAAAUUUUUUGUGAAUGAAAGAUCCAAAAUGCGUAAGGCCAUGCCAAGCAGUCUGGACCAAAUAAUUAGUUACAUGUAUGUCAAGAGCAAAAGAGGUUUAGGGGAUGGAAUCACCUAAAAGGUAAAAGCUAGGCAAGGCACUCUACCAUAGAUAUCACAGAAUUUGGAGUACCUUUUCCCCUUUCCUCAUUCCAACAUGUAAAAAACAUGCCAGAAAGGCUAAAUCACCUACCUGAUGUCUCCAACUCUCAAUCAAUUAUAGUACCCAGGACAUGCACAUCCUUGCUUGAGCCCAGGGAACCACUACACUUUAUUAUAAUUCCAGGUUUUACAUCCAUGUGUUCAGUAUACUCAGAAAAGGACUAAAGAAAAAUACAGAUCUUCCUAUUCUUCCUUUCCCAUUCCUAAAGUAGCAAUUUCCUUUUAAAAUAACAAAAAGGUUUUUUUAAAGAACAAAAAUAUUUUAGGAGUUCCUGUUGUGUCUCAGUGGGUUAAGUGUCCAUGAUGAUUCGGGUUCAAUCCCUGGCCUCAUUCAGUGGGUUAAAGAUCUGGCACUGUUGCAAGCUAUGGCGUAGGUUGCAGAUAUGGCUCAGAUCCAGUGUUGCCAUGGUUCUGGUGAAGGCCUGGAGCUGCAGCUCCAAUUUGACCCCUAGCCCAGGAACUUCCACAUGCCAGAGGUGCAGUGGCAAAAAGGAAAAAACAAAAACAAACAAAAAACUGAGGUAAACUCUAUGGCUUCUUUUCCUUUUACUUCCAUACAAAUAAUAUUUUAAUUGUCCUUUCCUAAUUAAAGGAGGGACAUGCUUUGGUGAGAAUGCAUGCAUAAGAGUAGAUUUACAUACAGGUGAGUCACCUCUAGAAAUCUGAAACAUAGGAUCUCAAAAAUUCAAUCUGUGAAUAGUACAAAAUAGUACUGAGACACUUUUCUUUUACUGACAACUUUCCCUAACCCAGCUUCCAGUCAGACAUUAUGAGUUAAAAGCCAAUUCAACCUCUUUCUAGUAAAACUGAGAGAGAAAUUUUUCACCUAAAUGUUAUUUUGGCUCAAAUGUAUAAGAAAUACUAUUUUACUUUAAAGACUAUUUUAUUUUGUAAUUAAAACAUUCCUCUAGAAAUCCAUCAAGCUGUUCUAAACAUGGUUUAUAUCAUAUUACAAUGUUGACUGUAAUAUAAUAUUUGAUUUGGGUCAAUAUACACACAUUUAACACCAGUAGAAAGUCUUCACUGAACAAGAAAUAAUGACUUUCUGCUGUAACUAAGGUGUGUGUGUUAGAGAGAGAGAUUGGGGGAGGGAUGCAAAUUAGUACUACAACAGAUCCUACCUUUCCAUUAAUUUGCCCAUUAAAAAGCAAGGGCUCUUCUUGCAGCAUAAAAAAAUGAAAGAAAUGAAACAAAUACACCUAAGAAAGUGAAUAAUAUUCCAAGGUAGUCACAAUUGCUACUAACACUCAUGAUCAUAAGAAAAUAACAGCCAGGACUGCUUCUUUAUCUCUUUCUCUCCUCUGCAUUAUAUCUACACUGAAUCCCUGGAUCUAUCUACUCCCUACCCAUCUUACUUUAUAGUUAGUCUGUACUAGUCUUUAAAAUCUAGGGAGGAAGUGAUUUUUCCAAACUACUAGAAUAAUAUUUCCGACUAUAUGUAUUUUAUCAUCUCACAACUAUCAAUUUAAGAAAACGAUCCCUUGGAGUUCCUGUUGUGGCGCAAUGUAAAGAAAUCCGACUAGUAUCCAUGAGCACAGAGGUUCGAUCCCUGGCCUCGUUCAGUGGAUUAAGGAUCCUGUGUUGCUGUGAGCUGUGGUGCAGGUUGCAGACAUGGCUUGGAUCCUGCGUUGCUGUGGCACAGGCUGGCAGCUAUAGCUCUGAUUGGGCCCCUAGCAUAGGCACUUCUACAUGCCACAAGUGUGGCCCUAAAAAGCAAAACAAAACAAAACAAAACAAAACAAAAAAAGAUCCUUUUUAAAAAGUUUAUUUCUUUAAAAGCCUCAAAAAAAUCCCUCCACAAAGGAGACAAUGACAACAGGGCUUGCUUCUUUCUUUACUUUGCUCCAUUUAAAAGUCUCCAACAUAUGGCACUAAGAAUACAAACAUUAAAGAAAAAGUAGGUAACUGGACAUCAUGAUAAUUGAAAGAAACUGAAAGGACAACAGAAUCAUACAUCUGAUAAAGGACUUGCAUCUAGUAUAUAAGAACUAUGACAACUCAAUCACAAAAACUAAUUUUUAACUGAGCAAUUUGAACAGACAGUUCUCUAAAGAAGAUAUAGAAACAGCCAAUGAGCACCUGAAAAGAUGUUCAACAUCAUCAUCAUUAGCCAUAAGGGAAAUGCGAAGCAAGACCAAAAUGAAGUAUUACCUCACACCCACCAGAACGGCUAAAAUGAGAAAGACACAUAUUCACAAUUGCUGGCCAGGAUGUGAAGAAACUGGAACCCUCUUACACUGCUAGUGACAAUGUAAAAUGGUGCAGCCACUCUGGAAAGCAGUUUGCCAGGUCCUCAAAAUACUAAAACAUACACCAUACGACUCAGCUAUUCAACUACUAGGUAUAUAACAGGAUGAAGUUAAUGUCAAAUUACAAAAUACAGUUUUAAAAUAGAUCCUCUCCAACUAUUUUAUUUUAGUACUAUUAUUUCCCUGAUCCAGACAUUUAUUUACAUCAAGAUGCCUUUGUUACCCUCAUCAGUGGUAUUCUAUUCAAUCCAUUCCACACUACACUUAGUAGAAGUCUCCCCAAAUACUGCUUCAAAAUCUUUCAUGGGUGCCUCAAAUUUGUCAGUCAAGGCUUCUUACAAUCUGAUCUUGAUCCACAUUUCUAAUAAUACCCCAUGAAUAUCAGGCCAAGAUCUUCAGAUCUGUCUUUUUUGUCCAGGAUAUAAACAAAGAAUAAAAUUAAGAAAAUUUUAACAUAUCUAAGCCAUCCUUCAGAGUUCAUCAAAAGCAUAUGUAAUGAGCUGACCACAAACAGUUUUAAUGCUAUUAUUCUAAUAAAAUUAUUCACCCAGGAAACACUGUAUCAUUUUAACAAAUCAAAUCCUUAAUUAAUUAUUGUGCCUAUAUAAUCUUGGAGAAAUCACAUAGAU
Molecule: long non-coding RNA, 3813 nt
Filed under: Sus scrofa (pig)
Lineage: Eukaryota; Metazoa; Chordata; Mammalia; Artiodactyla; Suidae
Description: lncRNA (ENSSSCG00050077027.1)
Source: RNAcentral